Molecule: ribosomal RNA, 588 nt
Filed under: Naganishia albida
Lineage: Eukaryota; Fungi; Basidiomycota; Tremellomycetes; Filobasidiales; Filobasidiaceae
Description: eukaryotic LSU rRNA
Rfam family: Eukaryotic large subunit ribosomal RNA
Source: RNAcentral
AUCAAUAAGCGGAGGAAAAGAAACUAACAAGGAUUCCCCUAGUAACGGCGAGUGAAGCGGGAAGAGCUCAAAUUUGAAAUCUGGUAGCCUUCGGUUGCCCGAGUUGUAAUCUAGAGAAGUGUUUUCCGUGCCGGCCCAUGUACAAGUCCCUUGGAACAGGGCGUCAUAGAGGGUGAGAAUCCCGUCCUUGACAUGGACCCCCGGUGCUUUGUGAUACACUUUCAACGAGUCGAGUUGUUUGGGAAUGCAGCUCAAAAUGGGUGGUGAAUUCCAUCUAAAGCUAAAUAUUGGCGAGAGACCGAUAGCGAACAAGUACCGUGAGGGAAAGAUGAAAAGCACUUUGGAAAGAGAGUUAAACAGUACGUGAAAUUGUUGAAAGGGAAACGAUUGAAGUCAGUCAUGCUCUUGGGACUUACCUCCCUUGAGUGGGGUCAACAUCAGUUUUGAUCGAUGGAUAAAGGCACGGGGAAGGUAGCACUCUCGGGUGAACUUAUAGCCUCGCGUCAUAUACAUUGAUUGGGACUGAGGAACGCAGCAUGCCUUAUGGCCGGGAUUCGUCCACGUACAUGCUUAGGAUGUUGACAUAAU